CCAAUCAAUGCACCAUUGAAUCAUCAUCAGCGCUCGAUUGUCACUGUUCAUCGCCGGAUUUUUCGUCAUUACCUGCAAAAGAGGAAAGAAAAACAACAGCAAAUAUGGCAAGAAAAUAAAAUCACAGAUUGUAAAUUUGUUUUCAGUGGCUAUAAAAGCCCGAAUCAAGAAAAUGUAAAGGGGAUAUAGACACAGAUUCAAUAAAAAAUAUCUAUAUAAAGAUAUUCACAAGAAAAGAAACAUCAACAGAUUAUCGAGAAAACAGAGGUGAAUCUUUUACCCUUUUUAUGAUCAUUGUUUUGUCAUAAGUAAAUAAAAAUAUCACUAAAAAGAAUAGGAGGGGGCUUACCGAUGGAUUCGCACUGAAAAAUGAAGCCUUUCAGCUUCUGGCCGCCAUAUUCGGCAGAGUUAGCGACGACGCUUGGGCGCAUGUCCCCAACAACCAGGGCUUGGCCUGACGGAAGUCGGAGCCGGAGAACUCUCCUCCUUCAAAAGCCGGAGCUCGGAG
Molecule: long non-coding RNA, 508 nt
Filed under: Gossypium barbadense (sea-island cotton)
Lineage: Eukaryota; Viridiplantae; Streptophyta; Magnoliopsida; Malvales; Malvaceae
Description: long non-coding RNA (GBAR_LNC009480)
Source: RNAcentral